GAUAGAAUGUUUACUAUUACAACUUUUUUUGCAGAAUUUAAAUAUGUCUAUAACUAAAAUUUGAAAAACUAUCAGAGUUUCCCUUUAAUAUGUAAGAUUCUCAGGAGAAAAUGGAUUUAUAAGAUUCUGUGACACUUUGGUCUACUCCCAGCCUAAAUCUCCAUUAACCUAUCAAAAGCUUCAAAAUGGCAGAAUGGAUAGAUUUCUCUGAGGUACACUUUCAGAUUAAUUAAAAAAAUCUAGUUUUUAGACACUAGAUAUUUUUUUUUUAAAAUUAGACUUAAUAAGCAUAGUUUCUAGACACUAGAUUUAAGUCAAUUAUAUUAUUACAAUAUAUGUAUUGUAUUUUAGACUUAAUAAGCAUAGUUUCUAGACACUAGUCUUAAGUCAAUUAUAUUAUUACAAUGUGUAUAGUAUUUUAAUUAGACUUAAUAAGCAUAGUUUCUAGACACUAAACUUAAGUCUAUUAUAUUAUUACAAUAUGUAUUGUAAACCAAUUAACCAACGGCACUCUCCUCACAAUUUCUGAACAUUUUUUCACUAAAUCCUUAAAUCAAAUUGUACUGAAUUACUGUAAUAAUUAUUAAUAUUUAAAUUAUUUCAAUUUUAGGUUCCAAAGGAGAGGGAAUAUGAUUCAGCGUUUGAAUCUGAUGCUGAGGUUACUGCCAGAAAGUAAGCUUUUUAUCACAAAUAUAAAUAAGUUCUAUUUUAACAUGCUAGUUUUUAGAACACAGAGAUUAUGUCUCCAACAGGGAAGUCCUUUCCUGCAUUGACUCCCUAUCCCCAGUGUAGUGGUGACUGAAUGUCAAAUGAGAUUUGCAGGACAUAUGCAUACACAAGAUGAAACACAUUUACUAAAGUCAGCCAUAGCAUGGAAGCUGGAGAGAAGAAAGCAAAAACAAGGCCAUACACUUCUAACAUGGUAGCGCACCUUCUUAGAAGACCUAAAAUUUGUGGGUACCAGUUGGGAAGAGGUCUAUGACCGAUCUAUGUGGAGAGAACUAUCCCCCUUCCCAUGUGCUGAAAAAUGCAGAAAGACCUAAGUCUAAGUAAGUAAGGACAGAAGAUGUUCAGUGUUGGUGUCACUAUUUAACUUUACCAGAGCCACAUUUACCUUUAAAUAUAAAUAUUCUGAGUUAAGCUAAUCAAGAGCUAAGAAUAUGCACUUCUUAAAUGUUGAUGUAGUUAUGGGAUGCAGGG
Molecule: non-coding RNA, 1200 nt
Organism: Biomphalaria pfeifferi
Lineage: Eukaryota; Metazoa; Mollusca; Gastropoda; Planorbidae
Source: the annotation of a GenBank genome assembly